RNAcentral lists this ribosomal RNA (223 nucleotides) under Oxalobacteraceae bacterium. Its description in RNAcentral is "partial 16S ribosomal RNA". It matches the Rfam family "Bacterial small subunit ribosomal RNA", at positions 1321 to 1533 of the family's 1533-position model. The record is from RNAcentral. Lineage: Bacteria; Pseudomonadati; Pseudomonadota; Betaproteobacteria; Burkholderiales; Oxalobacteraceae.
UGAAGGCGGAAUCGCUAGUAAUCGCGGAUCAGCAUGCCGCGGUGAAUACGUUCCCAGGCCUUGUACACACCGCCCGUCACACCAUGGGAGUUGGGUUCACCCGAAGGCGUUGCGCUAACCUCGCAAGAGGAGGCAGGCGACCACGGUGGGCUUAGCGACUGGGGUGAAGUCGUAACAAGGUAGCCGUAGGGGAACCUGCGGCUGGAUCACCUCCUUUCUAAGG